UAUCCUUUGUUGCCAGCGGUCCGGCCGGGAACUCAAAGGAGACUGCCAGUGAUAAACUGGAGGAAGGUGGGGAUGACGUCAAGUCAUCAUGGCCCUUACGACCAGGGCUACACACGUGCUACAAUGGCGCAUACAAAGAGAAGCGACCUCGCGAGAGCAAGCGGACCUCAUAAAGUGCGUCGUAGUCCGGAUUGGAGUCUGCAACUCGACUCCAUGAAGUCGGAAUCGCUAGUAAUCGUGGAUCAGAAUGCCACGGUGAAUACGUUCCCGGGCCUUGUACACACCGCCCGUCACACCAUGGGAGUGGGUUGCAAAAGAAGUAGGUAGCUUAACCUUCGGGAGGGCGCUUACCACUUUGUGAUUCAUGACUGGGGUGAAGUCGUAACAAGGUAACCGUAGGGGAACCUGCGGUUGGAUCAC
RNAcentral lists this ribosomal RNA (420 nucleotides) under Escherichia coli. RNAcentral's name for it is "bacterial SSU rRNA". It matches the Rfam family "Bacterial small subunit ribosomal RNA", at positions 1106 to 1526 of the family's 1533-position model. RNAcentral also lists the same sequence under 1 other name. Lineage: Bacteria; Pseudomonadati; Pseudomonadota; Gammaproteobacteria; Enterobacterales; Enterobacteriaceae. The record is from RNAcentral.